GCUGUCAAUAAGACGUGGACCUGCGAGCCGGGGCAAAAGGGCUUCCGGUCUGCGGGAAACUGGAGGCUAGCGGUGGGCGUGGACCGUCGAGGUGACUGGCGGUUGUCGGAUCUGCUGUUGUUUGCUGACCAGGCAGCCGUAGGUAAUGACGGAUGCCCAGACCCUGUGGGCGGAGUAAAGGAAUCAUGCACUGAUACACGCACACUCACCGAGGGGCGCGUCCGUCUGCGUGCCCCUCAUCUCGUAGCCGAAAGGAGCGCGUUCCGGGGCAGGCCUCCGGGUACUUCCCGCAGAGGACCGGGCUUUAUACUCUUUGCUCCUUUUCCUCCCCUAGUAAGUCAUAACUUAUUUUGGGAGAAGGGCAUAGUUAUUUGUCUCUCGUCUCCAUGCUACAGCACUUUAUGUGCUUUUCAUUCAAAAUCGUUCCUCGAGGACGACCAAGUAAUGUGAUUUGGGGGACAGUUUUCAUAGGAAGGGCUUUAUAAGUUUACACCAACAUAAAGAAAACUUAAAAACCUUAUAACCGCUUAUUUUUCAGAAGUAUUAUUUUUCAUUUAAUCUAAAACCAUACUUUUAGAACAUGAAACCAAGCCAAACAGAUCUUUGCAGAUUGUGCAAGCGAACUUUUUUUUUUGAAUGAAAGUGGUGCCAUCAAUGCAAAAGCAAGCCCAUAUAAGUGCCGAAAGGUACUCGUCAUAAGGAGGAGUUGCUUCCCUAUUCUGAAUUUUUAUUUAUUUUUAUUUAUUUAUUUAUUUGAGACGGAGUCUCUCUCUGUCACCCAGGCUGGAGUGCACUGGCAUGAUCUCGGCUCACUGCAACCUCUGCCUCCCGGGUUCAAGUGAUUCUUCUGCCUCAGCCUCCCCAGUAGCUGGGACUACAGGUACAUGCCACCAUGUCUGCCUACUUUUUGUAUUUUUAGUAGAGAUGGAGUUUCAUCAUAUUGGCCAGGCUGGUCUCAAACUCCUGACCUCGUGAUUCGCCCGCCUCAUCCUCCCAAAGUGCUGGGAUUACAGGCGUGAGCUGCCCCCUGAAUUUGUUUUUUUUAAGCAACUCUUUUUAAAAAGAGAGAAAAAAUAAUCUCUCUUGAGUGUAUUAGUUAUUGAGCUAUUCCAUUUGGAGGUGGCUUAACCCAAAACGUGUAUGGAUGUGGUAAGAUUACAAUGGACUUGAAUGUUCUAGAUGAAAUCUGGGCCGAGAGUAAUUGCAUAAUAGUUUUCCAAAGGACUGUCAGAUGGUAAACUCCUUUCAUUUACUUUGAACUGAUAAACGAUAAGAUGGAUUUUUGUUUUUUGACCUUUUUAUCUACAUUUACUUCUGAAAAUUGAAAAAGAAUCUGAAUUCCAACAAAAUGUUUCUAGGCAAGUAUUUGCAUGAUGCUUCUCUAACAUUUCCUAUAUCUUAGUGUUUUCUCUAAUGUUUUCUGUAGCUUUCAAAUUUCACUCCUGUAAGUUUUUACACUACCAGUAAGAAAGAUCUGGGCCAAUUAUACAGAAUGGACGAUGAUUUUUAAAAGAAUAGAGAAAGCAUUCAGAAAAGAGACAAUAAUUUGAAAAUGUUCUGACAUCAUGUAUUUCCUUAAAGCAAUACAAGUCCUGUAUGUCCAGUUCAUGUCUACUCCAACCGAGCUUUUUUCAGACACUUAGAAAUUGCCUUCAAGAAAAUCCUUAUGGAACAUUGUAACCUAGAGGGGCAUUUAUUUUCGUUUAAAUAUGUAUUAAUUGCAAGUAGUGACAGAACCUAAAAAGCAAAAACCAUAUAGCACCAGUUCCAAGGUUCCUAUAUCUAAUGCAGUUACUCCUACUGCAGUACAAGGAGGAAUAUAAAAUCCCUAGGAGAAAUACAAAAGGCCAUUGUCUUCUUUGACCAGAUUUGAGGAAAGUUUUCAUGGAAGAUGUGGUCUUUCAGUGGGCGUUGAGGGUAAAUAUGCAGAUAUGGUUAGCCUGUGCAUUCUGGUGGAAGCUCAGAGUUGGAAAAACAUGAAACAGAUUGCAGAGUCUGGCAUGUACAAAGAGGUAUGGUGAGACAUGUGAGUUCUAAACAUCAGGCUCAUGAAUUUGGACUAAAUUUUUGUUAUGGAAACAUGGAAAUCCUAAAUUAAUUGAUGCCAGAAUAUAAAUUGGUUAAGAACAUCAAGAAAUCAUAACAACUGAGUUAUUUUGAAGUUGGUGUAAUGUGGUCAAUGGAACGCUGGUGAAUGAUCCUUGAAACCUGGAUUGUAUUUUAGCACUAAGACAGUAUGCGUGUAAUCACUUGCAAUAAAUUCAUUUUUUUAGGCUUUCUUCUUUUCAUCUGUAAAAUGAGAGAUUGGUUUAGAUGAUUUCUGAGGUCUUUUUUAUAGG
Molecule: long non-coding RNA, 2339 nt
Filed under: Homo sapiens (human)
Lineage: Eukaryota; Metazoa; Chordata; Mammalia; Primates; Hominidae
Description: non-protein coding lnc-CCDC93-10:2
Source: RNAcentral